ACUUGCUUGUAGUCAAACAGAAGGCAGAGCUGCGAAUCAAAUCCAGGUUUGUCUCGACAUGCCACUAGCUCAUACUUCCCUUGGAUCAGCCACUAAAUGGCUUUCACUCCAGUGAGCAGCGACCAGCACCAGAAUUAUGGAACAUUUAUCAACAGCCUAAAAUAAAGACAACACGAGGAGAAUUUGGUUGCUUAUAUAGAUUCAAGGUACAAUCCUGCUGGAUUCUGGGAUUACAGGACUGUAGACAAAAGAGAAAUCAUCAUGGACUGUUCACUGGACAAAAUUUCAUGGAGAGGAGAAGACCUUUGGCGGUUCAUGGAUGUUCUAUAAUAAGUUAGGUAACUAACAGGCUAACUUUCUUGAGCACCUACACUGUGUAGGGCACUGUACUGGUACUUCUCAUACCUUCUCUCAUUCAUAUAAUCCUCUGAGGUAGGUGUUAUCCUCUCUACAGCAGGGAAAAUCAAUACCCAGAGAAGGGGAGAGACGUCCAUGGCACACAGGAGAGGACAGAGCCAAGAAUGAAUAUAGGACACCAGUGCCCCAACUCUUAACCACUACCAUACACGGUUUUAUAAAGUAAAUUUUAAAAGUCGACUUUAAAACAUGUAUGCAACAUUGUGUCCAGUCUCCCAAAACAAAAGAACAAUGAGCGUUCCCUUUUCCCUUGAUGUGUGGGCAGGUCUGUAGAGUAGUACAAGAAGAGAUUAUGUUCUGCAUUCUCACUUCAACAAGAAAGUCCUGGUCCACCAAUAAUACCUUUAAGCUUCAGGAUAAUUGUGAAAAGGCC
Molecule: long non-coding RNA, 790 nt
Filed under: Homo sapiens (human)
Lineage: Eukaryota; Metazoa; Chordata; Mammalia; Primates; Hominidae
Description: long intergenic non-protein coding RNA 1359
Source: RNAcentral